This 483-nucleotide ribosomal RNA is filed under the name Sapromyza mauli. RNAcentral's name for it is "partial 16S ribosomal RNA". It matches the Rfam family "Bacterial large subunit ribosomal RNA", at positions 1857 to 2597 of the family's 2925-position model. Lineage: Eukaryota; Metazoa; Arthropoda; Insecta; Diptera; Lauxaniidae. The record is from RNAcentral.
ACCUGCCCACUGAAAAUUUAAAUGGCCGCAGUAUAUUAACUGUGCAAAGGUAGCAUAAUCAUUAGUCUUUUAAUUGAAGGCUGGUAUGAAUGGUUGGACGAAAUAUUAACUGUUUCAGAUAAAUUUAUUGUAGAAUUUUAUUUUUUAGUUAAAAAGCUAAAAUUUAUUUAAAAGACGAGAAGACCCUAUAAAUCUUGAUAUUUUAAUUUAUUUUAAUUAUAGAGAAUAAUUAUAUUAAAAUAAAAUAAAAUAUUUUAUUGGGGUGAUAUUAAAAUUUAAUAAACUUUUAAUUUGUUAAAUCAUUAAUUUAUGAAUAAUUGAUCCAGUUAUACUGAUUAAAAAUUGAAGUUACUUUAGGGAUAACAGCGUAAUUUUUUUGGAGAGUUCAUAUCGAUAAAAAAGAUUGCGACCUCGAUGUUGGAUUAAGAGAUACUUUUAGGUGUAGCCGCUUAAAUUUUAAGUCUGUUCGACUUUUAAAUUCUU